UGUGGGAGCGAGCCUGCUCGCGAUAGCGGAGUGUCAGUCACAUGAUUGUUGGCUGAUAUACCGCCAUCGCGAGCAGGCUCGCUCCCACA
RNAcentral lists this unclassified non-coding RNA (89 nucleotides) under Pseudomonas mediterranea. Lineage: Bacteria; Pseudomonadati; Pseudomonadota; Gammaproteobacteria; Pseudomonadales; Pseudomonadaceae. The record is from RNAcentral.